GACGAACGCUGGCGGCGUGCUUAACACAUGCAAGUCGAACGGUGAAGCCCAGCUUGCUGGAGUGGAUCAGUGGCGAACGGGUGAGUAACACGUGAGCAACCUGCCCCUGACUCUGGAAUAAGCGCUGGAAACGGCGUCUAAUACUGGAUACGAGAAGGGUCCGCAUGGGCACUUUCUGGAAAGUUUUUCGGUUGGGGAUGGGCUCGCGGCCUAUCAGCUUGUUGGUGAGGUAAUGGCUCACCAAGGCGACGACGGGUAGCCGGCCUGAGAGGGCGACCGGCCACACUGGGACUGAGACACGGCCCAGACUCCUACGGGAGGCAGCAGUGGGGAAUAUUGCACAAUGGGCGAAAGCCUGAUGCAGCGACGCCGCGUGAGGGAUGACGGCCUUCGGGUUGUAAACCUCUUUCAGCAGGGAAGAAGCGAAAGUGACGGUACCUGCAGAAGAAGCACCGGCUAACUACGUG
RNAcentral lists this ribosomal RNA (467 nucleotides) under uncultured bacterium. RNAcentral describes it as "partial 16S ribosomal RNA". It matches the Rfam family "Bacterial small subunit ribosomal RNA", at positions 28 to 507 of the family's 1533-position model. The record is from RNAcentral.